GGGCGCAUGGUGUAGUUGGUUAUCACAUCCGCUUAGCAUUUCUGCAUUUGCGGGGGGUGCUGGGUUCAAUUCCCAGUGCGUCCA
Molecule: transfer RNA, 84 nt
Filed under: Grifola frondosa (maitake)
Lineage: Eukaryota; Fungi; Basidiomycota; Agaricomycetes; Polyporales; Grifolaceae
Rfam family: tRNA
About the family: Transfer RNA (tRNA) molecules are approximately 80 nucleotides in length.
Source: Rfam by way of RNAcentral